GAUUAAGUUAUUAAGGGCGCACGGUGGAUGCCUUGGCACUAGAAGCCGAUGAAGGACGUUACUAACGACGAUAUGCUUUGGGGAGCUGUAAGUAAGCUUUGAUCCAGAGAUUUCCGAAUGGGGAAACCCAGCAUGAGUUAUGUCAUGUUAUCGAUAUGUGAAUACAUAGCAUAUCAGAAGGCACACCCGGAGAACUGAAACAUCUUAGUACCCGGAGGAAGAGAAAGAAAAUUCGAUUCCCUUAGUAGCGGCGAGCGAAACGGGAAGAGCCCAAACCAACAAGCUUGCUUGUUGGGGUUGUAGGACACUCUAUACGGAGUUACAAAGGACGACAUUAGACGAAUCAUCUGGAAAGAUGAAUCAAAGAAGGUAAUAAUCCUGUAGUCGAAAAUGUUGUCUCUCUUGAGUGGAUCCUGAGUACGACGGAGCACGUGAAAUUCCGUCGGAAUCUGGGAGGACCAUCUCCUAAGGCUAAAUACUCUCUAGUGACCGAUAGUGAACCAGUACCGUGAGGGAAAGGUGAAAAGCACCCCGGAAGGGGAGUGAAAUAGAACCUGAAACCGUGUGCUUACAAGUAGUCAGAGCCCGUUAAUGGGUGAUGGCGUGCCUUUUGUAGAAUGAACCGGCGAGUUACGAUUUGAUGCAAGGUUAAGCAGUAAAUGUGGAGCCGUAGCGAAAGCGAGUCUGAAUAGGGCGUUUAGUAUUUGGUCGUAGACCCGAAACCAGGUGAUCUACCCUUGGUCAGGUUGAAGUUCAGGUAACACUGAAUGGAGGACCGAACCGACUUACGUUGAAAAGUGAGCGGAUGAACUGAGGGUAGCGGAGAAAUUCCAAUCGAACCUGGAGAUAGCUGGUUCUCUCCGAAAUAGCUUUAGGGCUAGCCUCAAGUGAUGAUUAUUGGAGGUAGAGCACUGUUUGGACGAGGGGCCCCUCUCGGGUUACCGAAUUCAGACAAACUCCGAAUGCCAAUUAAUUUAACUUGGGAGUCAGAACAUGGGUGAUAAGGUCCGUGUUCGAAAGGGAAACAGCCCAGACCACCAGCUAAGGUCCCAAAAUAUAUGUUAAGUGGAAAAGGAUGUGGCGUUGCCCAGACAACUAGGAUGUUGGCUUAGAAGCAGCCAUCAUUUAAAGAGUGCGUAAUAGCUCACUAGUCGAGUGACACUGCGCCGAAAAUGUACCGGGGCUAAACAUAUUACCGAAGCUGUGGAUUGUCCUUUGGACAAUGGUAGGAGAGCGUUCUAAGGGCGUUGAAGCAUGAUCGUAAGGACAUGUGGAGCGCUUAGAAGUGAGAAUGCCGGUGUGAGUAGCGAAAGACGGGUGAGAAUCCCGUCCACCGAUUGACUAAGGUUUCCAGAGGAAGGCUCGUCCGCUCUGGGUUAGUCGGGUCCUAAGCUGAGGCCGACAGGCGUAGGCGAUGGAUAACAGGUUGAUA
This 1432-nucleotide ribosomal RNA is filed under the name Staphylococcus aureus. RNAcentral describes it as "partial 23S ribosomal RNA". It matches the Rfam family "Bacterial large subunit ribosomal RNA", at positions 1 to 1435 of the family's 2925-position model. The record is from RNAcentral. Lineage: Bacteria; Bacillati; Bacillota; Bacilli; Caryophanales; Staphylococcaceae.